UGCGCGACAACUGCGUAUCGUGGAUCUCCGGUGGUUAUCACGGACGCCACUAAAAAACUACGAGCCCUCACGUCUCCCCUCUUCCUCUCUCACCUCUCUCGACACCGGAAAUCGGAUCAGCUGCCAACGCCGAGACACCGACGAUACACCUCCGAGCGAUAACAUGUACCAGAAACGCCGUGCGCUGCAGUGAUCAUCUGAAAUCAAUUUUGGGCAAUAUUUUCGAACGGAGACCGCCUUUAGGUAAAAUUUGUAGAGCCAGGAUACAAGUACAGGAACAAGUCUAUGAAGUUCAGAUAAGAGGAAUAAUCAUAACCUGCUGAUUAUGGCUGGAAGUGGCAGGGAAAGUGGGGCGGAUUCUAUUCCGAUUAGGACAAUUUGUUGAGACUUAUGUCGAGCACCGUAGCACAGUUUGAACUAAGCAUGGCCUUUUGCGGGAUAUUGCGGGACCCGCGUUGGCAACCCUACCGGGAUCAUGUUCAGAGAGAUUUGGAUUCUAUCAUGGACUCCUCUCCAAGUUUCCGCCGGCGAGCACCUGAUGACACCUCAGAUUCUGUGAAAAACAUUGUUGUGCCUGACAGUGCGCUUACGCAUCCAUCCUUCCUCACUCCAACUCCAAGCCAUCGCACCGAAACUUCGGGCGCCGGCUGCUCAACUGGAUCAAUGGCCAGUGAGAACCCAACGGUAGCCUAUUCAAACAUGCUCGGAUAAGUUUAUGCAUCUAUUCGAGCGGGGAACAAAUCAACCGUAGGCUAUGAAAGAACCAUGACCGUCUUCAAGGAACUUAAACUGCAGCUAGAAGAAACUCCUGUUGAUGAGAUGCCGGAGCAACAUUAGCCAGCCUAUUGUUAUCAAGAUGACCAUUCUGCAAUCAUUUUUAAAGCCCCACCAAAGGGUUCAAGAACUGAACAUGGAGUGCCACCCAUCAUCGGCGCACAUGGGAAAAAGUUGUGCACAAGAGCUUGUGGGAAUUGUGGCCGUGAAGUUUUGUAGUUCUUGCACAUUCGCUAUA
Lolium rigidum is the source of this 1012-nucleotide long non-coding RNA. RefSeq lists it as uncharacterized. The transcript has 3 exons. The record is from RefSeq and is a predicted model, not a curated record. NCBI's taxonomy places the organism in Eukaryota, Viridiplantae, Streptophyta, Magnoliopsida, Poales, Poaceae.